CCCUCCCUUUCUCCUCCGGGGCUUUGGAGUCGCCUCGCAGCAGCGAGCUGCGAGCGCCCUGCUCCAGUCCGGGCUUGGAACUGAACUGUGCGAGCGCAGGUCCUGGAACCCGGGCCCAGGCGCGGCCAGCCAGGUCUGAGGCCAGGGCGCCGCGCUCAGCCUCGGAGGCCCCGAUCGGGACGGAGCGGAGCGCGGAGCCGCAGAGCCGGCCAGCCGGGCGGGCGCAGCGUCCGGGCGAGUCCGGGCGCCGGACCGCGGAAGCCAGGAGACGGCCGCGAGCCCGGGGCAGAGGGCAGAGGGCAGCGAGCGGCCUGGCGUGGCGGAGGGCGCCGCCCGGCCGAAACCGAGAUCGCCGCCCGGGACGCCGGCCCUCGCGGGUGCGGGGGUGACCAGUCCCGGGAGACGGCGGGGGCGCGCCCCCUCCCAGCCCGCCGACCCGCGCCGCCCGCCCGUCUCCGGGGCAUGUGAGCGGGAAGCCGAGUGCCAGCCGCGAGGACCGCCCCGGGAGCAGCAGGAGCGCGGAGCCGCGAGCCCGGACCCAGCGCCCCGCAGAGUAUGUCGGGGGAAGACACUUGGGGAGACGGGGCAAGAGGCCGGGCCGGAAGGAGGUCUGGAUCAACAGUUUCAUAACUGACGAUGUGUUGGCUUGGCUGUGCAAGCGGAGGGUUUAGCAGGACCAGUUUGAGCCCAGCCUGGUGUGCGGAGGCGUCUUCCGGAUGGCAUUGGACUCCCAAGGGACCCCAAAUCACCGAAAGCAGGGUGAGCGGGCCCCCCUCCCACACUCAGGCUCUCCGGGCCUUGGGCCUCAGAUUUCUCUCGGUGAAACGGGGUCGGAGCCCUGGAGGGAGCCCUAUAGCGAGGAGAGUGAGCAGGUAGAUAGGGUGCGAGAACCCCGGCAACGGGAGGGAGUAAGCAAGAUGGCCACCCAGCGAACGAACCGCGCAUGAGCAAAACAACCCCCUUCUUGCAAAUUGCUGAGCUGGUGGAAUAUCGGGGGGUGGCUGUGAGAUCCGGGGUGGCAGAGAGGGCUCUGUGGGUGCCUGCGCUGUGUGUGCAGGUUGCUGUGUAGAGGCCCCGAAAGAGAAUGGAGAAGGCUGGGCCAGCGCCCGGGGCACCCCUUCCUCUGAGCCGGGCUCUACCCCCGCGCCUCCCGAGGCACAUCCCUGGUCCCUGUUCCUGGAAACGGGCCUACUUCCUCCACCCACCCCUCACGUAAGUGUCCCC
RNAcentral lists this long non-coding RNA (1224 nucleotides) under Heterocephalus glaber (naked mole-rat). Its description in RNAcentral is "lncRNA (ENSHGLG00100037911.1)". Lineage: Eukaryota; Metazoa; Chordata; Mammalia; Rodentia; Bathyergidae. The record is from RNAcentral.